AUGCUCUUUACAGCAACAUAUAUACUAAAAUUGGAAUGAUACUGAGAAGAUUAACAUGACCCCUGCUCAAGGAAUACACGCAAAUUCGUGAGGCAUUUCAAAUAAAA
Suncus etruscus (white-toothed pygmy shrew) is the source of this 107-nucleotide small nuclear RNA. The record is from RefSeq and is a predicted model, not a curated record. Lineage: Eukaryota; Metazoa; Chordata; Mammalia; Eulipotyphla; Soricidae.